This 468-nucleotide ribosomal RNA is filed under the name uncultured bacterium. RNAcentral describes it as "partial 16S ribosomal RNA". It matches the Rfam family "Bacterial small subunit ribosomal RNA", at positions 28 to 507 of the family's 1533-position model. The record is from RNAcentral.
GACGAACGCUGGCGGCGUGCCUAACACAUGCAAGUCGAACGGAAAGGCCCUGCUUUUGUGCGGUGCUCGAUUGCCGAACGGGUGAGUAACACGUGAGUAACCUGCCCUUGACUUUGGGGUAACUUCACGAAACUGGGGCUAAUACCGGAUAGGAUCUCCUGCUGCAUGGUGGGGGUUGGAAAGUUUCGGCGGUUGGGGAUGGACUCGCGGCUUAUGAGCUUGUUGGUGGGGUAGUGGCUUACCAAGGCUUUGACGGGUAGGCGGCCUGAGAGGGUGACCGGGCACAAUGGUACUGAGAGACGGCCCAGACGCGUACGGGAGGCAGCGGUGGGAAAUAUUACACAGUGGGCGGACGCCUGAGACAGCAGCGCCGCGUGCGGGAUGACGGCCUUCGGGUUAUAAACCGCUUUCGCCUGUGACGAAGCGUGAGUGACGGUAAUGGGUAAAGAAGCACCGGCUAACUACGUG